GAUGAACGCUGGCGGCGUGCCUAAUACAUGCAAGUCGAGCGGUAAGGCCUCUUCGGAGGUACACGAGCGGCGGACGGCUGAGUAACGCGUAGGAACAUACCCCAAAGUGAGGGUUAACUGCUCGAAAGAGUAGCUAAUACCGCAUGUGAUCUAAGGAUUAAAGCUUCGGCGCUUUGGGAAUGGCCUGCGUAUGAUUAGUUUGUUGGUGAGGUAAUGGCUCACCAAGACUACGAUCAUUAGCUGGUCUGAGAGGAUGAUCAGCCAGACUGGGACUGAGACACGGCCCAGACUCCUACGGGAGGCAGCAGUAGGGAAUUUUCCACAAUGGGCGAAAGCCUGAUGGAGCAACGCCGCGUGCAGGAUGAAGGCCCUCGGGUCGUAAACUGCUUUUAUAUGUGAAGAUUAUGACGGUAGCAUAU
RNAcentral lists this ribosomal RNA (419 nucleotides) under uncultured bacterium. RNAcentral describes it as "bacterial SSU rRNA". It matches the Rfam family "Bacterial small subunit ribosomal RNA", at positions 28 to 483 of the family's 1533-position model. The record is from RNAcentral.